RNAcentral lists this microRNA precursor (60 nucleotides) under Magallana gigas (Pacific oyster). RNAcentral's name for it is "Mgi-Novel-5_pre stem-loop". Lineage: Eukaryota; Metazoa; Mollusca; Bivalvia; Ostreida; Ostreidae. The record is from RNAcentral.
CUUGGCACAAUGUUGUGUGUAGACUACAGCUUUCUAUCUGCACCAAUAUGAUGCCAGGCG